This 468-nucleotide ribosomal RNA is filed under the name uncultured bacterium. Its description in RNAcentral is "partial 16S ribosomal RNA". It matches the Rfam family "Bacterial small subunit ribosomal RNA", at positions 28 to 507 of the family's 1533-position model. The record is from RNAcentral.
GACGAACGCUGGCGGCGUGCUUAACACAUGCAAGUCGAACGGAAAGGCCCUGCUUUUGUGGGGUGCUCGAGUGGCGAACGGGUGAGUAACACGUGAGUAUCCUGCCCUUGACUUUGUGAUAACUUCAGGCAACUGGGGCUAAUACCGGAUAGGUGCUCCUGCUGCAUGGUGGGGGUUGGAAAGUUUCGGCGGUUGGGGAUGGACUCGCGGCUUAUCAGCUUGUUGGUGGGGUAGUGGCUUACCAAGGCUUUGACGGGUAGGCGGCCUGAGAGGGUGACCGGCCACAUUGGGACUGAGAUACGGCCCAGACUCCUACGGGAGGCAGCAGUGGGGAAUAUUGCACAAUGGGCGGAAGCCUGAUGCAGCAACGCCGCGUGCGGGAUGACGGCCUUCGGGUUGUAAACCGCUUUCGCCUGUGACGAAGCGUGAGUGACGGUAAUGGGUAAAGAAGCACCGGCUAACUACGUG